UCUACGGGAGGCAGCAGUGGGGAAUAUUGCACAAUGGGCGGAAGCCUGAUGCAGCGACGCCGCGUGGGGGAUGACGGCCUUCGGGUUGUAAACUCCUUUCACCAUCGACGAAGGUUUUCUGACGGUAGAUGGAGAAGAAGCACCGGCUAACUACGUGCCAGCAGCCGCGGUAAUACGUAGGGUGCGAGCGUUGUCCGGAAUUACUGGGCGUAAAGAGCUCGUAGGUGGUUUGUCGCGUCGUCUGUGAAAUUCCGGGGCUUAACUCCGGGCGUGCAGGCGAUACGGGCAUAACUUGAGUACUGUAGGGGAGACUGGAAUUCCUGGUGUAGCGGUGAAAUGCGCAGAUAUCAGGAGGAACACCGGUGGCGAAGGCGGGUCUCUGGGCAGUAACUGACGCUGAGGAGCGAAAGCAUGGGUAGCGAACAGGAUUAGAUACCCUGGUAGUCCAUGCCGUAAACGGUGGGCGCUAGGUGUAGGGGUCUUCCACGACUUCUGUGCCGUAGCUAACGCAUUAAGCGCCCCGCCUGGGGAGUACGGCCGCAAGGCUAAAACUCAAAGGAAUUGACGGA
RNAcentral lists this ribosomal RNA (569 nucleotides) under uncultured bacterium. Its description in RNAcentral is "bacterial SSU rRNA". It matches the Rfam family "Bacterial small subunit ribosomal RNA", at positions 338 to 917 of the family's 1533-position model. The record is from RNAcentral.